UGUCUCUGCCAUAAUGUCCAUAUCUGCAGCUCGGACGGCUGUACAGACAGCAAGACACGCAGAAUGUUUACUCCUGGACCAGACUAUGCUCCAAUACGUGUCUCUCGGGAAUCUCAGAAGCAAAUCCCAAUCUCAGCUAGAGGCCUCCGAGUGUCAGAGAGAAGGGUAGCCUCAUUCCUUUGCCGCAGGUUUUCUACAGACGAAGUAGGAAGGUGUGGUACAGAGAGAGAGAGCCUGGUGGGCAGAGGCACGGAAGCCCCCAAACCGUAAGUCGGGUGGCUCGUAAGGGUAUUGCGAGAACUGCCGCCAGGUGCAGGAAGGGGCAGAGGGGAACCCUGUGUACCGGGAUAAGCAAACGGAUUUCUACUGCCUUUACUUUUGGGGUUUCUGCCCACACUAGACAACAUUUUCAAAAUAUUUGGACAGAAGUAGAACGCGUUUGGCAGACAUAUGCUGCCAGUUGACGGCAGACUCCACGGGCGCUGCAGGGCGGUGCAAAGCAGGCUUUCAGGGCACGGCUGCGGGGAGAUGAAUUUGUGUACAGGGCAUGCGGGGGUGAGAUCUGUUGACUUUACGGGGCCGGCUCUCCUUGAAAAGGCUCCCUGCGCCUUGCCCUCUGCUCCUCAGGCCCUCAUUCCUGAGUCACUGAUUACGGAGUGAAUAGAAAAUCCUGGGCUGAGGAUGCCGGCUGAAUCGGGAGUGUGCUGGCCUGGUUCAAUCCCCAGCACCGAGUAAGAUGGGCACAGCGGUGCCUGUCUCCCAGCACUUGGGAACAGGGGUCGGGAAGAUCCAAGGUGAAGCUGAAGGCCAUCCUCAGCUACACAGUGAGUUGGAGGCCAGCUUGGGCUACCCAAGAUCCUAUCUUAAAAAAAAAAAAAGAAAAGAAAAUUCUGUCCAUAGGUUUUUCUCUUCAGACCACCAGGCUCCAGCCCUACUGCUGACUGGUCUCUCGAAACCUGGGAGAACUGUUCCUGUUUCCUGUUUCUGCUGUCACCUCCCUGGCUGUCCCAGCCAGGCCUGUCCCGCUUGAAGCCUGAAGCUUGUUUUCAUGCCUCAGAGGCUUUGGCCAGCGAGUUUUUUUUCUUUUCCACAGCAAAAGCACAGGGACAAAGGCGUCAUGUUUGCUUGAAGUGUGUGAGUCCCUCUGUGUCUUCUCAUGAAUUGUGUUCUGGACUUUCUCAGGAACCGCAGCACUCACGGAGAUUCCUCGAAGGCGCCCCAAGCUUCGUUCGGACGCCACACGCUGGGCCAGUGCUCCCUGACACAUGCUCCCCAUAGCCAACCCCCAGUCCCUGCUCCUCAUGGUGCCUCCAAUCCUCCCCUUUACAUUCCGUAAGACUAUUUUCAAGGUUAAAAAUGCUCUUUCUCAUCAGUGAAGGCCGACUCCUAAACUCCAUUGACAGCGCAGGCCAGGAGAGGAGAUCAGGGCAAACGGAAAGGAGGAGGGGGCUUCACACUCUGGGAAUCUGCCUCUGAGUUCAGUCAGCCUGAUCCCACUCCUGGUCAUAGUACAGGGGGUAAACUUGAGUCCACCACAGCUGCUCAUCGGAUAGGGUGGUGCCGAGCUUGAACUAAGUUACACGGAUUCCUCUGCAGCAACUGCAUCCCGAGGCUACAUGCAGUGUACGUCCCUGUGGUGCCAGAGCUCAGGAGACAGGCAGGAGGGUCACGAGAUCAAGGUGCAGCUUAGCGGGGACAUCAGGGAUCACUGCAGGGAAAGGAGGCAGCAGGAGAGUGGGGUUGCUGGCUCACGCCACAGAGGACCAGGAAGCAGGGAUGACAGAAAUCAGGCUGGGUUAUAAAUCGUCCAGGCCUGUCUCCUCGGGACCCACUCCAGCCAGGCUCCCCUGCCAAGGCUGCUGCUGCUGUUGCUACGGUCCGUCACGGAUGUCGCAGAGCAAGAAGACUCUUCUUUGGUCCAAGGAGAUGGCUUCUGCAUGAUGAGCAGCCUUUCUAAAUGGUGCUGGAAUUAGAUGCGUCACCCAGCUCUCGUGGUCCUGUAUCCUGGAGGGGGACGUUACAAUGAGAGCGGCUACAGCUGAGGUCUAGCAUCACAGAACAUUCUAGAAACAAUAUGUGCUGUUUUUCUGCUCAAGUCAGUAACUUCACCUUGGAUGUCUCUAUUGAUGGUGGUGGGGUUUUGUUUUUCUGGGUUUGUUUUGUUUUUGCUAUGUCUAGGGAUUUUUAGGAAAAACCGCAGAUUUAAUCCAGUCUUGGUCCAACUUCAGUCCCUUUCAAAUAACAUCCUUUUGGGGGAAGUCAGGUUUUGUUCAUGAAUGUUAUAUUGCAGUGCUAACUUUGUAUGGCUGUAAAUGGAAAGAGACUUCGUUUAACAAGAGAGUGGCGUUCUGGAAAGUGCUUGAAAUUGUUUCCAGCUUCUGCUAUGAUGAGACUAGUGAUGUCGAUUCAAGGCUAUCCGACUUCUGUUCCCAAGAUAUUCUGUUCUUCUAUUUCAUAACAAAACAGCAUCCACCAUGGGAAAUGUGACCUCUGAUGUACCUGUUAGUGCUCAAAGAUGAGCUGUGCCCUAUUUCUUGUUUGGAGACAGAUAUCUCCUCCCACUUUAGAAUCACUAAGUGAGUCUCUCUUUGGACCCGAGAGGGCUAAACUAAAGCUUUGUGCAUUUCCAUCUUU
Long non-coding RNA from Mesocricetus auratus (golden hamster), 2634 nucleotides. RefSeq lists it as uncharacterized. The transcript is spliced from 3 exons. The record is from RefSeq and is a predicted model, not a curated record. Lineage: Eukaryota; Metazoa; Chordata; Mammalia; Rodentia; Cricetidae.